Molecule: ribosomal RNA, 266 nt
Filed under: Listeria monocytogenes
Lineage: Bacteria; Bacillati; Bacillota; Bacilli; Caryophanales; Listeriaceae
Description: partial 16S ribosomal RNA
Rfam family: Bacterial small subunit ribosomal RNA
Source: RNAcentral
UUUAAAGAGAGUUUGAUCCUGGCUCAGGACGAACGCUGGCGGCGUGCCUAAUACAUGCAAGUCGAACGAACGGAGGAAGAGCUUGCUCUUCCAAAGUUAGUGGCGGACGGGUGAGUAACACGUGGGCAACCUGCCUGUAAGUUGGGGAUAACUCCGGGAAACCGGGGCUAAUACCGAAUGAUAAAGUGUGGCGCAUGCCACGCUUUUGAAAGAUGGUUUCGGCUAUCGCUUACAGAUGGGCCCGCGGUGCAUUAGCUAGUUGGUAG